Molecule: ribosomal RNA, 399 nt
Filed under: uncultured bacterium
Lineage: Bacteria
Description: partial 16S ribosomal RNA
Rfam family: Bacterial small subunit ribosomal RNA
Source: RNAcentral
CCUACGGGGGGCAGCAGUGAGGAAUAUUGGUCAAUGGGCGUAAGCCUGAACCAGCCAAGCCGCGUGAGGGACGAAGGUUCUAUGGAUCGUAAACUUCUUUUAUAAGGGAAUAAAGUGAGGGACAUGUCCCGUUUUGUAUGUACCUUAUGAAUAAGCAUCGGCUAACUCCGUGCCAGCAGCCGCGGUAAUACGGAGGAUCCGAGCGUUAUCCGGAUUUAUUGGGUUUAAAGGGUGCGUAGGCGGCCUUUUAAGUCAGCGGUGAAAGGCUGUGGCUCAACCAUAGCAUUGCCGUUGAAACUGGGAGGCUUGAGAAUGUUAGAGGCAUGCGGAAUGCGUGGUGUAGCGGUGAAAUGCUUAGAUAUCGCGCAGAACCCCGAUUGCGAAGGCAGCCUGCCGGGC